Non-coding RNA from Odocoileus virginianus texanus, 329 nucleotides. Lineage: Eukaryota; Metazoa; Chordata; Mammalia; Artiodactyla; Cervidae. The record is from RefSeq and is a predicted model, not a curated record.
CUACAUUGCAGGAGGAUUCCUUACUGACUGAGCCAACAGAUGGACUCUGAAUUUGUCUUCCAUGAAGUGACCUUUAGAGAUUGACUAGCAGCUCAGUCUAAAGACUCAGAAGAGGGAAACUAAUUUGUCCAACUGGGGUCAUGUGACAAGCUAUCAUCAAGAGGGGCAGAUGGUCAGAUGGCCCUAGGCUGGCGGCCAAUGCCCACUCCAGAGAAAAUGGACAGUCUCUGAACAGGGCUGGGAAGGCACUCAGAAAGUGUUUACUAUAAUAUGACUUUCAUCAACACAUCCCCCUACACUCUCUUCCAUUAAAGUUAUUUUUAUCUGUA